ACCUACGGGGGGCAGCAGUAGGGAAUCUUCCACAAUGGGCGAAAGCCUGAUGGAGCAACGCCGCGUGGGUGAAGAAGGUCUUCGGAUCGUAAAACCCUGUUGUUAGAGAAGAAAGUGCGUGAGAGUAACUGUUCACGUUUCGACGGUAUCUAACCAGAAAGCCGCGGCUAACUACGUGCCAGCAGCCGCGGUAAUACGUAGGUGGCAAGCGUUAUCCGGAUUUAUUGGGCGUAAAGGGAACGCAGGCGGUCUUUUAAGUCUGAUGUGAACGCCUUCGUCUUAACCGGAGUAGUGCAUUGGAAACU
RNAcentral lists this ribosomal RNA (305 nucleotides) under uncultured bacterium. RNAcentral's name for it is "bacterial SSU rRNA". It matches the Rfam family "Bacterial small subunit ribosomal RNA", at positions 337 to 634 of the family's 1533-position model. The record is from RNAcentral.